Molecule: ribosomal RNA, 639 nt
Filed under: Salmonella enterica subsp. enterica serovar Infantis
Lineage: Bacteria; Pseudomonadati; Pseudomonadota; Gammaproteobacteria; Enterobacterales; Enterobacteriaceae
Also listed under: 1 other name
Description: partial 23S ribosomal RNA
Rfam family: Bacterial large subunit ribosomal RNA
Source: RNAcentral
AGACCCGAAACCCGGUGAUCUAGCCAUGGGCAGGUUGAAGGUUGGGUAACACUAACUGGAGGACCGAACCGACUAAUGUUGAAAAAUUAGCGGAUGACCUGUGGCUGGGGGUGAAAGGCCAAUCAAACCGGGAGAUAGCUGGUUCUCCCCGAAAGCUAUUUAGGUAGCGCCUCGUGAAUUCAUCUCCGGGGGUAGAGCACUGUUUCGGCUAGGGGGCCAUCCCGGCUUACCAACCCGAUGCAAACUGCGAAUACCGGAGAAUGUUAUCACGGGAGACACACGGCGGGUGCUAACGUCCGUCGUGAAGAGGGAAACAACCCAGACCGCCAGCUAAGGUCCCAAAGUCAUGGUUAAGUGGGAAACGAUGUGGGAAGGCCCAGACAGCCAGGAUGUUGGCUUAGAAGCAGCCAUCAUUUAAAGAAAGCGUAAUAGCUCACUGGUCGAGUCGGCCUGCGCGGAAGAUGUAACGGGGCUAAACCAUGCACCGAAGCUGCGGCAGCGACACUCAGGUGUUGUUGGGUAGGGGAGCGUUCUGUAAGCCUGCGAAGGUGGCCUGUGAGGGUUGCUGGAGGUAUCAGAAGUGCGAAUGCUGACAUAAGUAACGAUAAAGCGGGUGAAAAGCCCGCUCGCCGGAAGACC